CCAUCCUUUGUUUAAUUAACCGGCAACCUGAUAUGAAAUUGAAAUGUAUUAAAAAUAUUGAGAAUUAUUAAACUUUUUUUUGUUGUUGUUUAAUCUUUAACCAUUCAUCUUCUCCACUCACCAUCUCACUGUAAACCAAGAUUCAAAUUUGUCUUCCUAAAGCUUUGAGAUGUCGACAAACUCCAAAACAAGGUUGCCUUUUUCUGCAAUAUCGAACAUUAUUCACGAGACUAAUCACAUGUUGUCUGGGUUUUAACCAAAAAAAAAAACGCAGACCCAACAAACUUAGGAAAACGACGAUGUUCAAUUUCAAGGUGUUCAAGCUUUCAUCAAUGUCGUGGGAACGAACACAUGGCCAAAUCCUCUGUUUUGGUUUACUGGGUUAGGUAGUUGCUGGUGAGAUUAAAAGUGAAGAAAUAGAUGGACUGAAUUGAAAAAGAACAUUUUUUGGUAACGCGAAAUCCAUUGUAACACGUGAAGCAGCAACACGUUUUGUCUUGUUCAGAUCUGGUACUAUGUUUGAAAAAGCCAAAGAACUAUUUGUGUAGAAAUUAAUUCUUACUAGUACUUAGAUCUAUCAUUAACUUUAACACAUCAAAGAUGAAGAAUAAAAGUACUGUGUUUGUUUCUCAUGGCAAAUCGGUAGACACCAUCGGUGUCUUGGAGAAGAUGAUACAACAACUAAAUUCUAAUUAAAAAAAAAAAAAAGC
This 710-nucleotide long non-coding RNA is filed under the name Medicago truncatula (barrel medic). RNAcentral's name for it is "long non-coding RNA (MTRU_LNC001165)". The record is from RNAcentral. Lineage: Eukaryota; Viridiplantae; Streptophyta; Magnoliopsida; Fabales; Fabaceae.